UCUUAAUCCUCUUGUCAAAAUCGAGCUGAACGUGGCCAAUCCAGGGAGAAAACCUCUAAAUUAUCCUGAAUGAGGCAGCUGGGUAAAGGGGAGACACGGCACCAGUGUCCUCUGCAGAGGGCACAACCUCGUAUUAGACACUAGAGAAGCCAAGCAGAAGGCAGUGAGCCCCCGGGGAGGAGGCAAUCCCAACUGAUGGUACUUUGCAGUUUGGUCAAAUCCUGCUGUAAGUGCUCUCCAAAGGGCCAAAUCCUGCAAAAUCCUCUGCUGUUGGCCGAGCAGCAUCCCCACGGAUCCAGGACCCGGUGAUUCUGGGUGGAGAAAAGCCCAGAAAAGGAAAACGACUCGCUGCAGGCAAGGAGGGAGCGGGCUUUGGAAGGGCGUUCGGUGGCAAAGGCGGCGUCUGAAGGAGCACCCAACCAUCCAAGUGAAACCAAGCAAAGACCUCACUCCGUGCCUGCACCCACUUUGCACCAACCUCUCCACGAGCUCCACCGGGCGAUUCUUUGCCAGAAUUACAUGGGGAUGCCAAAGGGGAAGAGAAAAAAAAUCGAGGAAAACGUGUGGGGAGAACACGUUUCUCCUUGUGCUCCAUCCCGAGUGGAGCCAGGCACAGCGGGCGGCUGUAGCCUGUUGCGGCUUGUUCCCUGUAUGCGGAGUUUACGGAUGCGUCGGUGAGGUUCUGCCUCCCUUUGGGGCUCUGCGAGGCUCCAGAGGUUCUGCAGAGCAAUUACCCCCUUCCUCACUCCCGCGAGGAUUUCAGCAUUCCUGCCAAAACCAGCCCCAAAUUUCCCUGCCUGCCCCUAAGCGGGGUUGGAUCCUUCUUCCAUCUCCUUCCCGUUUCCAGGCGGGAUGGAGCCCCCUCGCGUAGGGCAGGCAGAGGAAGUCCCAUGGCUUUGUUUUUAGCAUGGAAACGAAGAAAAGCCUUUAAAAAAGGAGGAAACCCAACCUGCCAGGAGCCAAACGUGCACCCGAGAAGCGGCCGCGCAAUCACCCCCGUUGUUAACCUGUAAUUACUGCCCUGAUGAAAUGCAAACAGGUUUCACUCGAUGGAAAGUCCGUCUCGCCUUCCUCUAUCUCGGUUUAAUUGGCUCGAAUUUGCAUUAACACAAUUACCGGCCGCGUUUUGCCUCUGGAAAGGUUGGGAAAGUUAUGGAAAUGUCUGGAAUAAAGAAGGGA
Neopsephotus bourkii (Bourke's parrot) is the source of this 1179-nucleotide long non-coding RNA. RefSeq lists it as uncharacterized. The record is from RefSeq and is a predicted model, not a curated record. Lineage: Eukaryota; Metazoa; Chordata; Aves; Psittaciformes; Psittacidae. The transcript has 3 exons.